ACACUUAAGGACUCCAAGUUGGUGUCCUAUAUUCUUGCUGGUUUGGGUCUAGAGUAUGACUCAUUGGUCACUACGGUCAUCACCCGUAUUGAACCCAUUUUUCUUGAUGAUUUGUAUGGAUACUUGUUAACCUAUGAGC
Molecule: small nucleolar RNA, 139 nt
Organism: Alnus glutinosa
Lineage: Eukaryota; Viridiplantae; Streptophyta; Magnoliopsida; Fagales; Betulaceae
Product: small nucleolar RNA Z247
Exons: 1
Source: RefSeq, a predicted model, not a curated record